Molecule: ribosomal RNA, 467 nt
Filed under: uncultured bacterium
Lineage: Bacteria
Description: partial 16S ribosomal RNA
Rfam family: Bacterial small subunit ribosomal RNA
Source: RNAcentral
GACGAACGCUGGCGGCGUGCUUAACACAUGCAAGUCGAACGGAAAAGCCCUGCUUGUUUGGGGUGCUCGAGUGGCGAACGGGUGUGUAACACGUGAGUAACCUGCCCUUGACUUUGUGAUAACUUCGGGAAACUGGGGCUAAUACCGGAUAGGAGCUCCUGCUGCAUGGUGGGGGUUGGAAAGUUUCGGCGGUUGGGGAUGGACUCGCGGCUUACGAGCUUGUUGGUGGGGUAGUGGCUUACCAAGGAUUUGACGGGUAGCCGGACUGAGAGGGUGACCGGCACCAUUGUCCCAGAGAUGCCGCCAAGACUGAUAAGGGAGGCAGGAGUGAGGGAUAGAGCAAGAUGGGCGGCAGGGUGAUGCAGGGACGUCGGGUGCGAAAGGACGGCAUUUGGGGUGGAAACGGAUUACGCUUGUGACGAGGCGUGAGGGCCUGACCAGCGGAAAGAAGAACCGGCUACUUACGU